RNAcentral lists this ribosomal RNA (477 nucleotides) under uncultured bacterium. Its description in RNAcentral is "bacterial SSU rRNA". It matches the Rfam family "Bacterial small subunit ribosomal RNA", at positions 501 to 978 of the family's 1533-position model. The record is from RNAcentral.
CUACGUGCCAGCAGCCGCGGUAAUACGUAGGUCCCGAGCGUUGUCCGGAUUUAUUGGGCGUAAAGCGAGCGCAGGCGGUUAGAUAAGUCUGAAGUUAAAGGCUGUGGCUUAACCAUAGUACGCUUUGGAAACUGUUUAACUUGAGUGCAAGAGGGGAGAGUGGAAUUCCAUGUGUAGCGGUGAAAUGCGUAGAGAUGUGGAGGAAUACCGAUGGCGAAGGCAGCCUCCUGGGAUAACACUGACGUUCAUGCUYGAAAGCGUGGGUAGCAAACAGGAUUAGAUACCCUGGUAGUCCACGCCCUAAACGAUGUCGAUUAGCUGUUGGGCAACUUGAUUGCUUGGUAGCGUAGCUAACGCGUGAAAUUGACCGCCUGGGGAGUACGGUCGCAAGAUUAAAACUCAAAGGAAUUGACGGGGACCCGCACAAGCGGUGGAUGAUGUGGAUUAAUUCGAUGCAACGCGAAGAACCUUACCUGG